UACAGAGGGUGCGAGCGUUAAUCGGAAUUACUGGGCGUAAAGCGUGCGUAGACGGUUAUGUAAGUCAGAUGUGAAAGCCCCGGGCUCAACCUGGGAAUUGCAUCUGAGACUGCAUAGCUAGGAUGCGGAAGAGGGCAGUGGAAUUUCCGGUGUAGCGGUGAAAUGCGUAGAUAUCGGAAGGAACAUCAGUGGCGAAAGCGACUGCCUGGUCCAGCAUCGACGUUCAGGCACGAAAGCGUGGGGAGCAAACAGG
RNAcentral lists this ribosomal RNA (253 nucleotides) under uncultured bacterium. RNAcentral's name for it is "partial 16S ribosomal RNA". It matches the Rfam family "Bacterial small subunit ribosomal RNA", at positions 524 to 776 of the family's 1533-position model. The record is from RNAcentral.